RNAcentral lists this long non-coding RNA (2068 nucleotides) under Eucalyptus grandis. Its description in RNAcentral is "long non-coding RNA (EGRA_LNC000704)". Lineage: Eukaryota; Viridiplantae; Streptophyta; Magnoliopsida; Myrtales; Myrtaceae. The record is from RNAcentral.
AAAAGCUUAUCCUCUCUCUCUCUCUUCUUCCCCACCCCACGUGACAGAAACCCCUCUUCUUCCUCUCUUCUUCGUGAGACCCAGCUGAACAGAAACGGAAGCAGCUCGCCUGGGAUCAGAGCAGCCGCCGUCGCCGCCCAAGCUCAGCCGCUCGCCGGUCGUCCUUCCCCGCGCGACGCCGCGCGUUCAGCCGCUCGCCCCUUGCGCCCGUGCGCCGUCUGCCCCCGUCCAGCGAAGCUUCCGCCUCUGCCCCGCCGCUGUCCAACCCCUGUUCAGCCACCGUCGGACCGCCGUCCAGCUCCGAUCGGCCGUCGUGCAGCCUCCCCGGAGCUCCGCCCAUCUUUCCCGACCCCUUGCCGCCCCCAUCCCUCUCUCUUUCUCUUUGUUUUGCAGCGAUCCAGCAACCCCAUCGUGUGGGUAUCCAGCCGGCUUCGGGCCCGCUUUGGGCCAUUUCCGGGCCCCGAACCCGAGCCGUGCUUUGGGAAGAGUUGUUCCUCGCGUCGCCCCGGUCGGAUUGAUCCGAUUUGCGCGCGAUUUGGUGAGUAAUCUCACUAAUCUUGGAUUAGUUGGCUAAUUAUGCUUAAGGUUGGUUUAGAUUUAAUUAAUUAUGUUUAGGUUGUUAGAUUAGAAUAAAUUAGCAAUUAUUAGUCAAUUGUGGUGCGAUUUAGAUAAAUUGAUUGCGCAAUUAAUAAGUAGACGUGGUCUACUAAUUAUUGGAAGUGCCUCGGGAUUUUUCCCGACCCUUAGUGGGCUCCAAUUAGGCUUUUCGGGCCUAAGUGGAAUUUUUAGUAUUUAAAUAUUAAUUUUCGGAAUUAAAUUAAAUAAUUAUUUAUUUUCCGAAAAUUCAACUGAGAUGGCCCGAGACCGGAAUAUUAUGCUGAUGACGGUGGUGAAGUCCGUUUAUUUAAUUGGGCUUUAUUUUGAGCUAAAUUGAAUUUUUAAUAUUAAUUAUUUAAUUUUCGAAAUUAAUUAUUUAAUUAAUUAUUUUUCAGAAAUUAAGAUAGUGAUGGCCGACGACCGAAAUCUCGUGCUGAUUGUCGUGGCGCAGUUCGUUUAUUUAUUUGAGUUCUACGUUGCAUGGAAUUAAAUAAAUUGUGAUGGUUUAGGGAUUUACCCUAAUUUGAUUGGAAUUGAUUGAGAUUGAAUUGUAGAUUGGUAAAUGGCCAAGUAUGUUAUUCAGCAUUUCUAAUGCUUUGUUGAGUUUGAUUGAGAAAUCGUUGGGCAUUGGUUGUCGGUAUUGAAAGUAGAUUGGUAAUCACUUAAAAGAAAACACGUGGGCUCGGUGAAUUGGAAUAUCACCUGGAGAAUGCACGUGAAUUCAGUGGUUGAAUAUGUCACCUUGGCGAAAAGGUCGCUUGAGAGAAUGCACGUGGCUCGGAGACUCGGUAUGUCGUCCUGGAGAAUGCACGUGGCUCGGUGAAUUGAUGCAUCACUUUGGUAAGCGAGUACCUUAGAGAAUGCACGUGGGCCCAGGCAUCUAAAAGGACACGUGGCUCGGUGAUCUGAUGCGUCACUUUGGUAAGCGAGUACCUUAGAGAAUGCACGUGGGUCCAGUAUUCGGAAAUAGCAUCUAAAAGGGCACGUGGCUCGGUGACUUGAUGUACCACCUUGGCGAAGAGGUCGCCUUAGAGAAUGCACGUGGGCCCAAGGUUCGAGGCACGUGGCUCGGAGACUUGGAAUGUCGUCCUAGAGAAUGCACGUGGCCUCGCUUUUAUAUACUCCUCCGUGGAGAAUGAUUUGUGUGACAUGUAAUCGACUGGUUCGAUUUGUUUUGAGUAAAUGGGUGCCUAUUGUGAAUUGUACUGACUUGCAGGUGAGAUUUGAGGCCAAGGUAAGUCUUCUGCCCUGUGCGUGUUUAGGCAGCCUGUAGUAUAAUAGUUUACUAAUCUGGCCUUAGUGGGGUAGAACUCGCUGAGACGUAGUCUCAUCCCGGUUUGGGGAAAUCAUUUCAGGACCCCGCUGAGGAGAUGAGGAGGAGGAGUCUGAGAAGGAUUUUUGGGAGAGGAAGAUAAUCCCGAGAGGGGCCUUGAGUACAGCCCGGGUGAACUGAAGUUCUAUCUUCUUUUGA